GUAGUCAUAUGCUUGUCUCAAAGAUUAAGCCAUGCAUGUCUAAGUAUAAGCAAUUAUACAGCGAAACUGCGAAUGGCUCAUUAAAUCAGUUAUCGUUUAUUUGAUAGUACCUUACUACUUGGAUAACCGUGGUAAUUCUAGAGCUAAUACAUGCUAAAAACCCCGACUCACGAAGGGGUGUAUUUAUUAGAUUAAAAGCCAAUGCCCUUCGGGGCUCACUGGUGAUUCAUAAUAACUUGUCGAAUCGCAUGGCCUUGCGCCGGCGAUGGUUCAUUCAAAUUUCUGCCCUAUCAACUUUCGACGGCUGGGUCUUGGCCAGCCAUGGUGACAACGGGUAACGGAGGGUUAGGGCUCGACCCCGGAGAACGAGCCUGAGAAACGGCUAUUACAUCCAAGGAAGGCAGCAGGCGCGCAAAUUACCCAAUACCGACUCGGUGAGGUAGUGACGAUAAAUACUGAUACAGGGCUCUUUUGGGUCUUGUAAUUGGAAUGAGUACAAUUUAAAUCCCUUAACGAGGAACAAUUGGAGGGCAAGUCUGGUGCCAGCAGCC
RNAcentral lists this ribosomal RNA (551 nucleotides) under uncultured eukaryote. RNAcentral's name for it is "SSU rRNA". It matches the Rfam family "Eukaryotic small subunit ribosomal RNA", at positions 20 to 575 of the family's 1831-position model. The record is from RNAcentral.